RNAcentral lists this long non-coding RNA (663 nucleotides) under Papio anubis (olive baboon). RNAcentral's name for it is "lncRNA (ENSPANG00000050025.1)". Lineage: Eukaryota; Metazoa; Chordata; Mammalia; Primates; Cercopithecidae. The record is from RNAcentral.
CUGACUUGCUUAAGAUCAGAAAGCUGGUUAGCAAUGGAGUUGAGAGCACUGGCUUUCUGGCCAAAAGCCAUAGAUAAUUCUGCAGGGCAUGCUGGUGGAGGGUGUGGGCUUUUAUUUUAUUUUUUUUUAAUCCUUCAUCCAACUUGAAUAAGAUAGAACAAUUUCUAAAUAAAUAAAUCUGAGCCAGGACUUUGCUAAGUGCUGGGGAUACAUAGUUACUGCCCCCAAAUCAGCAAAUAAUUUCACAAGAGUUGAUACUCCCACAAGUCUAAGUGUCGGGUAGAGAGACGCUGGGGUGCCAAGGAUUCCACAGAGGGGCUGAUUCAACUGCUGAGGGAGAGGGGAUGGGUCAAUACAGGCUUCAUGAGUUCGGGGACCCAUGCUAAGUCUUGCAGGACAAGGAGAAUUAAACCAGCCCACACCCGGACACCAGCAUUCCUGACUUGGACCAUGGACCACCUUGCAAUGAAUUGCACUAUGUCCACUGAGGCUGCAGCGAGGAGGAUAAAUGCGGGUGGACCUCCACAGGAACAAAUCAGAUCCAUGUCAGGUGGCACCAAACCUAAAUCUGCUUCUGCCUCAGCAGACAGGACACGUAGCUGUGGCUGCUGUGACUUCUGUGGCACUUGGGAUGGAAAAACGUGGGAUGCAAACCUAUUCUAG